UUAAUUACCUCAAUCUUGUCUAACUCCCACUUCUCAAGAAGGAAUUAAGACUUUAGAGACAUGCCUCCAUUUAAUCAUGCUAACGGGUGACAUGGAGAUCCAUUUUCUUGACAAGACGGUUGAUCACCCUAUCACGGAUUCUAUUUGAAUGAUCAGAAAAGAGUAUGUUGCAAGAUCUCACAGUGG
Hyaena hyaena (striped hyena) is the source of this 186-nucleotide long non-coding RNA. RefSeq lists it as uncharacterized. The transcript has 3 exons. The record is from RefSeq and is a predicted model, not a curated record. NCBI's taxonomy places the organism in Eukaryota, Metazoa, Chordata, Mammalia, Carnivora, Hyaenidae.